Populus nigra (black poplar) is the source of this 4790-nucleotide long non-coding RNA. RefSeq lists it as uncharacterized. Lineage: Eukaryota; Viridiplantae; Streptophyta; Magnoliopsida; Malpighiales; Salicaceae. The transcript is spliced from 5 exons. The record is from RefSeq and is a predicted model, not a curated record.
UAAAACCCUCCAGUUUAACACUGAAAUCCAAAAACCCCCCAAAGCGCCAAAAUGAAAUGAAAUCUUUUUUUUUUUGAAAAAACGAAAAACCCUCUCCAAUCCAAUCCUCUUCUUCUUAAUUUUCAGGGUUUCGAGAAUUCCAAUCUACGGAAAUCCCUUUCAAUGUCAAUCCCUAAAACCGUCGAUUCCUCGCUCCGGUCUGAUUCUUUCACUGCCAUCCUCACUGACCUCGAAAACGCCCCCCCCCCCCCCCUCUCUCUCUAUUUUUCUUUGUUUCGCUUACAAUUUGAAUUUUUGUUUUGUUUUGUAGGCGAAAAAGCUGAAGGAGAAUCACGCAUGGUUGGUGGAAACUCUUUCUCUAUAAUUCUAUUUAGGAAACCGAACGCGGCAUCACGAGUGGCUUUGAAUUAGGAGAAAAUCAAAGCUGUUUCUAAUUACAUUCACCUAGUCUCCUAUAUCAGUUGCCUGAUACCUUCUGGCUUUGUGUCAGUUCAUUAUCAGACACAUUUAUAUAUAGGGUUCCACGUUCCGUUUAUCACAUGGCAAAUAACAUGCUUCAUCUUUGCAUUUUUGAGUUGCGUGAAGGGAAUACAGGUUGCUGCUGCCACGGUGCUAUCUAUGUUGUUUAUCACAGCAUGUUAUAUUGAACCAAAUUCGUCUGGCAAUGUGUCCCUUGGUCUGGAUGAUAAGCAGAUCGCAGAUCUAAGGCACUCUGUAAAAAGGACAUUAGUUAAGCAGUUGGACCAGAAUGGAGAUUUAUUUGUUUCCACAGUCAAUCUGCUUCCUGCUGCAACACAUUAUCAGGUAUGUUUUAAUAGGGUUUAUUUCCUAUUUCUUUCCACUUAAAUUGGCUUCUGACACAGAACAUCACGAUCCAUUCAUACAGUUUUUUUGCAGUUAUCUCAAAUACUUACUCCCUCAUGGAAAACAUCUAGAUAGCUUUUAUUUUCUGAUAAAAUCUGGUAUCUCAAUAACAGCUUUCUAGCAUGUGUACAUUGUUUGCUUAUUGGUGGUUUCUCUGUUGCAGCCUUCGUAUCUUCUUGCUAUUUUUUCAGCAGCCUGAUCAAUUUAUACACUUCUUGUGAAUAUGACAAUAAAAUACCUUAUCGCGCAAAGGUGUCCUUUAAAUUUUCCUCCAUUUAUUUAUCAUUUGUUUUGGUUCUAUUGAUUCUGGUACUAUAACCUUAUUGACAUACAUGUUGUUGCUAUAUCAUUUGACUGUGACGAACCAUUUUAGGAUCUAAAAUACCUCAGGAAGCACUCACUAAUAGGUUAUCAUAUCCACAAUUACAUGUCCUUGCAACUUGCAGGUUGCCACCAGUUUGUUCAUUGUACAUGUGAUGGGGAAAUUAGUAAUCGGUAAUGCAGGAAGUUUAUCUGUAUCAUUGGUUGAGAAGAUCCGCAUCACUUUUAACAUGUGUGAUACUGUCUUUAAUUAGGCAAGCAAUUCUCUCUAUUUAGUCAAUUGUUUGAUGAGUUUUGUCCACUUUAAAGUUGAUAGUUCGUUGGCAAUCCCUUCAAGAGGUCUUUCUAGUUAUUUAUUAACAGCAAUACCUGAUUUUUGCAAUUCUAUUGUUUUAAAGUGACAUUGCAUCUUUUUAGUUUGGGUGCAACAGUUGAGCUGUCAGCUUGCCUUAUCUGAAUUGUUGGCGUUACAGGUAACUUGAGCAUGUGUUUCAUAUUUUUAUUUGAUUGUUUUUUUUAUGCGACUCUUAACUGAGGAAUCUAUUCGUCUAGGAUUGUGGUUGCUUGAAUGGAAAUGCAUUGCAAUGGAAUUUUUCCAAAGUCCGAUGUGAAAUCACUACAUGUUCCAUUGAAUCAUUAUGGUUUUAUUGUUGGAGAGACUAUUUAUUCUUGUUCUAAUUCUGAGGCUCACCUCCUUUGGUAGUUUGAUAAUUUGUGUUGGGUUCUGAUUCAUUUGAACCUGUAAGUUGAAUUCUUAUUGUUUUUCAAUAUCUUCUCAGUGAAGUAAAGGAACUAAAAGGUCUGAUGCUCACUGAUCUCUACUAUCACCUUCAAGGAAAGCUAGAGGGUUGUAAAAUUGGUCCUGGACCAUUUAAAGAACUCUCUUGGUAUCUGGUGGAAUCAAACUGUUUGCUGAGCUAUCAACACAAGUAUGGAGACAAACAUUAUGGAAAGAUUUUCACUUGUAUGAGCUCAUGCAUAUACGAUCAGAUUUGUGUUUGAAUAUGUGGGAUUAUACAGAUUGGAAAGCUUCUAAAGCAAUCACACAAACAAUGUUGGAGUGCUUGAAGGAUGCAAAUUCGAAGGUUUUAAGAGCUAGUUCAAAGCUUUCUGCUCUGGAAGCAUUUCUAACUGCUCUUAGUAUGUGGGAAGAUAAUUCACCAUAGAAUAAGGCAACUACUGAGGUGAAGAUUCCUGACCGACUCUGCUUUUCAUGCAAUGACAACAUGUGUAAAUCUCUUCUCACCACAGUAGAAUCGCUAGCUCCAGUUCUGGAUGCCUCUGAAUAGAUUAUUAAUUUCCUUGCUGCAAAAGCAGAAUUAAUUCUAAAUCUCAUGAGAUCUGCGCAAAGCAACUUAUCCAGUUCAAUUUGUACACUUUUCUUGAAAAUGUCAGGUUCUGGCCUCAAAUUGCUGAAUGGGUUCAGGUCAUCUGUGACUGGGGUUAAAACUAUAAAGCUUUUGCUCAUGCUACUGCUUCUUGCUUUGGAGAUUAGUAAAUCUUCAGAAAAGGAAUCUCAAGACUUUGCUGAAGUUUCAAAUGUUUGUCUAGGGCUUUUGCCUAUUCUGUGCAAUUGCAUUACAGCUACUGAGUGUAGUUCCCUCUCCUUGGCUACCAUUGACUUAGUACUGAGAAGAUUUUUGACACCUAACACUCGAUUCCCCUUCAUACAGAAACAUCUUCAAUUACCUCAUAAUAUUUUGAAUCUUCAUGAUCAAAGUUCUUUCUCAUCUGUUCCAAUUACAUUGAAGUUCCUUUUGACUCUUGCACGUGUGAGAGUAGGUGUUGAAAUGCUCCUUAGUGCUGGUUUCUUCUCAUCUCUUAGAGCUUUGUUUGCAUAUUCAUCGGGUGUUGUGCCUUCCACAAUUAUGACAAAUGAUAAGGUCUUCAUAAAGCAUUCUGACAAAACAGAAAAGCCUCAAACUAUCUGGAGCCUUGGCUUGGCAGUGGUCGUAGCUAUGAUUCACUCGUUAGGAGACAGUUCUUGUACUGAGAUUCUGAACAAGGUGAUUCCUUGUGUUUUAUCAGAGAAAGCUGAACUGAUUUCUUAUUAUAUCAGUGCACCUGAUUUUCCAUCUGAUAGUCGUGACAAGAAAAGACCACUGGCUCAAAGGACACAGACGUCUUUGAGUGCUCUUAAAGAAACAGAACAUACUCUCAUGUUGAUGUUUGUGCACUAGCUAAACAUUGGAGGUGAUGGGUUAAGGUCAUGAAAGAAAUGGAUUCAGAACUGCUGGAGAAAAGUAUUCAUCUAUUAGCCUUUAUUAGUCCAGGAACUCGCGCGUCGGAGAAUCUUCCAGAGGAGUUAGAAUCCUGCAAGAAACCAUCAUUUUUAAAAAGCAGGAAUGGAUUGUUUUCUCUUCCACCUCUCUGUUGUGCAUCAAAGCCCAUGUCUUCUGCUUUCUCAGUCAUCACUACUGCUACUGUAGGCAAGGGCCAUUCAACUAAAUUACCAAUCCAGCUUCUUCAGACUUGGUUGCCCUGCAUAUUUAUAGGAUCUCUUUUCUUCUCUUGAAAUACCUCUGUAUGGAAACAGAGGGUGCUGCUAAAAGAUCAGAGGAAGUGGGGUUUGCUGAUCUAACUCAGAUUCCUGAGCUGCCAAUGCCGGAGAUAUUGCAUGGCUUGCAGGAUCAGGCAGUUGCUAUUAUUCAGGAACUUUGUGGUUCAAACAAAUCAAGGCACAUCAAUUCUGAAAUCCAGUCAGUCUGUCUCUUAGUACUACCGAUAAUGGAGAUGGCCCUAUAUUUGGAGUUCUGCGUUUUACAGAUUUGUGGAAUAAGCCCUGUAUUAGGGCGUGUGGAGGAAUUUUCGAAGGAAGCAAAAUAGUUGUCAAAAGCCAUGGAAGUCCAUUCAUUCUUAAAAGCAUCAGUCACAUCCUUGAAACAUUUAACAUCUCUUGUCUAUCCCGUAUUGUUACAGACCGAAGGUUUAUAGGCGAACUUAGUUGGGUGAGUAACAGAUCAUGAAAAUCCUGUACAGAUAUCAGAAUUAGGCAUGGCCAAGAUAUUUGCAUGAUUACAACGUAAAACUCUGUAUAACAUCAACAUGUGACAAUAUCAGAACCACACAUCAUUGAUUAUCGCUUAGAUUUUUCAUGGUUCCUCUAGCUCAGUGAAGGAAUAUCACACAAAUAUAAUGAAGAUGGUGCCAAAUAUCAUCGAUCUGGCGUUGUUUCGCAGUCAUCCUCUUUCCAUGAUUUUAAGGUGCCCUGUUACAAGAUGUGCCUUCCAGCAAGGGAUUAUAAUUAUUCUUCGAUCAUGCACCGACUGCUGUAAUGAUGUAGGGAAAUGAAUUUUCCUAGGGGGACUGAACUUUCACUUUUGUGCUUGAAUGGGCCCUGCCCCCCUUGCAUGCGUGAUGCCACAAGGUAGCAUGUUUUUGUGGCGAGACAAUUGUUGAAAAAAAAAGCAACUGCAUAUUAUUGCAGCUCUUGACAAGAAAUGCAUCUUUGUCUCUCUUUUAUGCAGGAGGUAAUGCUAUUCAUCCAGGAACAGGUCUUAAAGUAAUUAGUUACUCGAAUAGUAUCUAUCAAUCAUGUCAUUGUCAUGUAGAAUUUACCUUGAUUGAUUCCAGAUGGAUAUCCAUGUCAGCAUCAUUUUUUGUAA